Molecule: ribosomal RNA, 46 nt
Filed under: Colletotrichum gloeosporioides
Lineage: Eukaryota; Fungi; Ascomycota; Sordariomycetes; Glomerellales; Glomerellaceae
Description: partial 28S ribosomal RNA
Source: RNAcentral
AAAGGUUGACCUCGGAUCAGGUAGGAAUACCCGCUGAACCUAAAGG